Non-coding RNA from Rattus norvegicus (Norway rat), 8917 nucleotides. The record is from RefSeq and is a predicted model, not a curated record. NCBI's taxonomy places the organism in Eukaryota, Metazoa, Chordata, Mammalia, Rodentia, Muridae.
UCGGUAUACCACCCCUAUAAACACUUGCUUUUCCUUGUUGUUAUUAUGUUCUGUCCUUAAAAAAAAUUCUCAAGCAGCUGAGACAACAAGACAGGGUGGUCCAGGGAUGGGAGUGCAGACACCUGGAUUUUCCUGCCUCUCCUCGCCUAGACUUGCCCUGGAAGUUAGGGUUGUCUACAACCGUUUUCUCUCCUCAGUUUCCUGUCCCCAGUAAGGAACUGACUGUGGUUGAACAGGAUGUCAUGAUCUCAUGUGAGGGUGUAUUAUAUUAUAUGCUUUGGAAUUCGAUUAGAUCACUGGUUUCUAUAAAACUCUCUCUCUCUCUCUUACUCUCUCUCUCUCUCUCUCUCUGAGUGUGUGUGUGUGUGUGUGUGUGUGUGUGUGUGUGUGUGUGUGUAUGUGUGUGUUCUAAUGUGCAUAUCUACCCUCAGGAUCUCUCUCCCAGGCAUCCACUCAGAACUUUCUAGAAUAUGUUUGGUGUACCUUCGCUUUGAUAGUCAACAUGUAGCAUUAGGAGCCAGAGGAGGAAGAAAUCACCAUUUUCUAUGUGAACUCCUCUCCCCAUGCCUCCCUGUGACUGUAUGGCUUGGCUUGGACAGUUCCUCCCAAAUUUUGAGAUGCUCAGGAUUCAUGGGAGGAUAUUGUUAACCUGUGGGUCUGACUGGCAGAUUUGAUAUUCGGUAUUUCUAAUAGGCUCCAAAAAGAUGGCAAGUGCUAUUGUUAGACAGAUUGUCCUUGGUGCAGCAAGUAUAGGACACAGGGACAUAAUCAUUUUGGGGGUUGACCUCCCUUCCCUUCAAAUCCUAGGUUCUGUGCACUUUUCAGCAAUGCCAAAAACAAUUGAGAAUCUUGUGGGGACACUGGACACUUUGAGGUUUCCAGCCCUUUUUCUUGGAGUUUUCAAUUAGUUGAUGUUAGAAUUAAUAUUUUAAAAACAUCUCAAAUAUUUCAAUGUAUUCAUUUAAUUUAUUCUAUUUAUGUCUGAUCUCCUGAAAUCAUUGCUCAAUCCUUUAGGGAUAUGGAAUUAGAUCUCUUAUCUCGGGAAGCCAUUGUUAUGUCCUUUAGGGACAUUGAAUUAGAUCUCUUAUAAUCUGAGUCUUACCCUUCAUUUAAAUUGUUUUUGUAGUGUCUGUUGAUUCCCUGUAUAUUUCUUAUCACUUCCAAAGCCACUGAAGUCAGAACACUGCAGAACAGUUGUGACUCUCCCAUCAUUGAUGUACUAAUGUUCAGAACCUAAGUUUGAAAACACACACACACACACACACACACACACACACACACACACACACACUGUAGUUGUCAGAGAUACUGUAAAAAAAAUUUCUAGGAAAGCACAUACUACCAUCCAUUUCUACCUUUUUCUUUAUGUAUUUAAUUAACAAGACCCAAAGGCCAUUUUAGAGUAAAUGAUGCCUGUGCUUUGUCACCAAAACUUAUAUUCCAAGGACUUUAGUUACAAUAACCUCGGAAAGAUGUGGUCUUGAGUUUUUCCUUUCAUUUGUGUUUAUUUUUAGACUUGUGAUAUCCAAACAGCUAUGGCAUCUGCUUUUAUUGUCAACAACUCCUUUAUUUUAUUUUGUUAUUUUUUUUAUUUUUGUUUUGAUUUGGGGAAUCAUCCAAAGGCAUCUUUUGGUGAAGAAGACCCAUGGCACCCAGUGAAGUUGAACACCCUCCUGGAGGCAAGCAGCCACCUUUUAUGAUUUUCUUUCAAUCCUUUCUACUUCCUUGCUCCUUCCUCCCCACCUCCCAUCAUCCAUAGCGUGGGUGAACUAAUCCAUCUCACAAGCGGAGUUCAGAGACUUGCCUUUCCACGCUGCUGCUCCUGUACUUUGUCCUGGCACCUCACCACCGGCAACAAGAGGCUUCUUUCAUAUUUAUCAGCACUUAAUUGCAAUCGCUGCUGCUUUAUGACCUCACAGAGGUCUUCAUCUUCAGUCAUUGUUUCCUGCUGGCUGGUGGAGCCCAGUGAUCACCGUCUUUUCCCACCAUUCAGCUCACAGAGGUGCAAGCUCAGAUGAAUUUUCCAGGCCGCAACUGGGAGAGGCAGUGGCUCAAUCACAAUUGCCUUAAAGGAAACAUUACAAACCCAAACACUGUCCAUUGGAAAAUGUUUUGGGAUGACUUAGGCAGGUUUCCAAUAGGACUUUGGGAAUGAAUUAAGAUGAUGAAUAUGAAUUUGGCUUCCUUGGAGGCAUUGGCAGGACCAAUGAAGGGAUAAGCUAACUGAAAAGGUUUUAGUUUGUUAUAUUUCAUGAGAGGACUGUGGUGGUCAACUCUACUGGUUGAAGGUCAGACAUGCAUCACUUCAAAGCUUGCUUCCAAGAUGUGACUCAUUUAAAUGUUCAGUUAUUGAUUUCAGCACGGAGUUUGAUAAUUUUUUUCCAUCUACUUGUUUUUGGUGUGGUUUCUUCUUUUUGUUCCACAGCUUUCAGACUACUCUGGUAGCUGAAUUGAACACAGACUAGAGGAAGAUCAAGUCAAGCCUGGAGAAAAAUGACACAAUCCAGGCAAGGGGUGCACACAGAGUGAAGACAAAGAUGUUUUCCAGCCAUGUUUCUCAGUCUUGAACAUGCAGAUGGGUCACUAGAAGUUUAUUGCACAACAACACUAAAACUUCGAUCUGAGUUGCAAAGACAGUUUCCAGUGACACUAACAUUGCUGUGCUAAAAACCACAACAGAGAAGGAAGAAAAGAAACAAAAAUCUUGCUGAUAGAUGGCUAUGGCUUCAUUGAAAGAAAAGCAUCACGAACUGUUUUCUCUCUCACACUUUGGAAAAUGUACACAGGGCAAUUACUGAAAUAGAAGUUUCAUUUCCACCCCUGCUUUUAAAGCUAUCUUAUUCCUGUCUAGUGGCACUCAAAAGCUUUUCAGGAUGGGUGGACAUUUACAUACUCCAGGAAAUGGCAUUGUAAUAAUAUAGCACAUUUCUGGUUCAAAAGUUGAAUAAGACACACACACACACACACACACACACACACACACACACACACACAAGCUAUUAUGGUUUCAAGCUUUCAGCUCUUAGUGGUCAUUUUGGUGGUUAUUUACACAUGUCUAAUUCAUUGUUUUUUAAGACUAUGUAUAGACUAUCCUUUCCUACAAACAUCAAGUAUCUUUAAAAUAUAUGGGUUCCAUAAGAAAAUCCAUCUUUUAUACAUUAAGUGGAAAAAGGUUUUUAAGAAAUGGUGAUUGUUAAAAUUUUAAAAGAAAAAAAGGUAUGAGGAUUAAGGAGAUAGUUUAUUUAGUAAAAAGCUUGCCAUUUAAAUAUAAAAUCCUGAGUUCACAUCCCUAGCACUCAAACAAAAAGAUGUGUAGGGAAGCACAAGUCUGUAAGCUCAGUUCUGGGAAGUUGGAGACAGGAGGAUCUCCCAGCCUUACUGGUCAGCCAGUUUACCUUACUUGUUGAACUCCUGCCCAAAUGAGAGAGACUCUUACCCUCUCUCCAAAACGUAGAGAGUGAUAGAAAGAGAUAAUCAUAAUCAAUGCCAAGCAGUAGCCUACACACACAGACAUACACACAGACCACACACACACACCACACACACACACACACACAGACACACACACAGACAUACACACACAGACACACACACAUACACACACACACCACACAUGAAGAGGGAGAGAGGGAGAGAAAGAGAGAGAGAGGGAGAGAAAGAGAGAGAGGGAGAGAAAGAGAGAGAGAGCGAGAGAGAGAGAGAGAGAGAGAGAGAGAGAGAGAGAGAGAGAGAGAGAGAGAGAGGAGAGCGCCCUGGUAUAUACCUGGGACAAAGGUUAUCACACUUAUACCUUCACAUACAUUGCUGCAUCACUGUCCACUUGUCCCCACCAAGCCAUCUUGGUAUCCCUUGUUCCAGUCAAAAAUUGGCAAUUGAUUUGCUGUCCAGAAGUCGAAGUCUACCCACUGUGAAGCUGCUCAUAAAUGAAUGCUUCUUCUGUUUAGGAAUCUGAAAGCUUUCCUGGAAGACCCUGUCUUGCUCAAAGCCAUACAAUGCCAACCUGACAUCAUCUGGCCCAGCUCACUUCAUAAAAUGAAUCUGACUUUAUAGACCCUAUAGGAUUUCAGUGGUUGCUUCUAGAAAUGGAAAACCAUGGUGAGGCCAAACCUUCCCAUAGUUUCGUCUCUCAUUGCGUGCUUUCUGUGGAUUGACAGUUAUUCAUUUGAUACCGUAGCACAGUUCAUACCUGGCGCUAAAGAUGCGAACUUGUCUGCCCUUCCAAGAUUUUCUGACUUUGGAGGCCACUAUAAGCUGGAAUACAUGAUUUUCUGGCUAGAACACAUUCCUAGAAGGCUCUUUGGACACUAACAACCUCUUACCAAAGGACACUACACCAAGAAUCUGAAACAUGUGGGUUGUUUCUCCUCAACUAAACAUGGGCUCUCAUGGUGGGUAGGGCAAGAGUGGAUACAGGCAACAGUGUGUGGAGAUGGUCUGGAAUCUUUUUAAAAUGAAAACCAUAUGAAAAAAAAAUUUUUACAAAGAAUUUAAAUAUUACCUAAAUUUCAGUUCAUUCUUAAUUUGAAAUGUUAAAUUUAUCAUAGUUUAGACAGUUGUUCUCCAAUCUUGAUUUUUGACAGUGACCUAGAAUAUCAGACCAAAAAUCCAGUUUUCCUGCACUUUUCAAACCAUUCCAUUGGGUUCCAUUUGACAGUUUCUGUGAGGCUCAUGCUCUUUAGGUGUGGUCUCUUCUGAGAAUAAUGGUUAUAACAUGUUGUUUGUGAUCAAGGUCUAGUCUCCUAAACAUGACUCCUUCUCCAGUAUGAUGAAAAAAGGAUCAAGGAAAGUCAUCAUUUGCUUAACAACUAGGAAAGAGAUUGGCAUCAGAAACCUAUGGGACAUGAAAGCCAUGGUCUCCACUUAUGUCUUGAUUCAUUUUAACACCAAUUACAGUUAAAAAAAAAAAGAAAAGAAAACCUUACAAAAUGUGACCUUGAUAACUCUCCCUUGGUAGAGCCAAGGUCAAUUCCAACUUGCAUUCUUUUCUAAAAAUGCUGCUUUAUCACAUUGCCAAGGACAAAGGAAGGUUGAGUCCAACUGUAUAUCUUUUAAAAUCUUGAGAACGUUUUAACAAGGCAAGAAAGAUUUCCCAUAAUUACCAUAUAAGAUGUCUCAGUUAAAAUACCUGAUGUUCUUCUGGAGUUUGAAAAACUGGGCUAUCUUUCAAUAUCAAAAAUCCCCUUGCUUAUUCUAUGACUCAGCACAAGAAAACUUUCAUCCACUGGACAAUGUUGAGACAAAUGCCUGAGGACUUGCUAUCUUACCGAUCUCAGUGCAGGUUAAGAAAUUCCUCCUAGACUUACCAAACCUCUUAUAAGGAUAGGUCCCUAUGUGCCUGGGUGCCGAGUUGUAAGAUUCUUACACAGCUUGCUCCUCUAUGUCUCCUUAGUCUCUGUUCAAGUGCCCACCUCUGAGCAAGUACUGAAUCCAUUCACUCCUUGCCUCCUUCAUUCUAUGAUCUGUUUUCCCUCUGGAAGCCGUCAGUCGCAGAAGUUAUUUUGCUGCUAUUGGUUUGCCUCCAUCCUUGCCCUAAUUGUAGACAAACACGGUGACCUAAUAAAGGAAAGACCUUAUCUGGUGUGUUCAUUGCCUAACCUGAGGGACUUACAGGAAUGAAACCUCAAUAAAUGUUUUAAAUAGAUAAAAAGCUGAGUUAGUGCAUGAUGUCAUAUAAUAAUUACAUGCUGCAAGAUCUGUCCACCAUUCCUGUUCAUCUCUAGCAACUGUGUAGUCCAUACCACUGAGGGUUCAUGCCUACAACACAAACAACCCUUGAAGUUAAAGGGAUGUCACAUUUGAUGGACAAGUUAUAUAAUCAUCCUCUAAACUGGAGAGUGGGACUGUCUGAACCCCCUGGGCUUUUAUAUAAAGAGAUAAUAAGUAGAUAAACCACCCUUAUGUCCAGGAGAUUAGAAAAUCUUAAUGAAGCAUGUGCCAUUAUUGACUGACUGAAAUAAAAUAUUUUAUUUAACCUUAAAGACACAUUUCUCCUUGAUGUAAAAAGUCCUCAAAGUUUUGUCAACAGGAGACAAUAACAAUACGUGACUAUAGUGACAAUAUUGAGCAAAAUCAACUGUCUUUGAGGAUGUCCCAUCCUUGCAUGUGACUGAUCACAUUUACUGUGAUAGAUGUUGUAAACUCUCCAUGCAGACCUGCCUCAUUUUUCUGGGCACUCACCUCAGGGCUAUUCAAGCAGAGGCUGCUACUGGUACUUAACUAUAUGUCCCUGCUAUUUUAGAGACCCACACACUCUCUAGAGCUACCUGGGUUGAGGAUGAAGGAACGGUCUCUCCCUUAUCUUGUUUCUUUGUGGGUUUCUCCACUGAGUUGUCCCCCUCAGCACAACCCUUGUAUCAGAAUCUCCGUCUUGGGCUCUACUUUACAAGAACUGACCUCAUACAACCACAGACACGUUUCCGUGAGUUUCAAGGGCAUUCCGCCAUUCUCGCCUAAGAUCUUUGAGAGGUGUGGUGAGUGCCAAAUGCUUUUGAGGAAUGGAAACUGAGAGAAAUGAUGAGAAGACAAAGAUGCCCCCAUUGCUCUGUUGUGGGCGGGGGCUGUUGGUUUUCUCUCAGGUUUUAACUGCCUGCCUGAAAUUCCAUGGCUUGUGCUUUGCUGGACAAAUAUCCACCGCUAUAUUAUAUUUUGGAACUUUCUUGGGAAAGUCAAGGCCUUUCACAUGCAGUUUUCAUAACUCAUGUAGCUCUGCCCUCCUGGAGCCUUGGGACAUAGACAAGGAGGAGAAAGUAGUUUUGCUUUAACUUUACAGUGUUUCCCUUAAAUUAAAAAAAUUUAAAAAAAAAAGCCUCUCAAAAUCAGGCAACCUUAAUAUGGUGCUUGUAGCUUGUAGUUGUGUUUUAGCUCAAACUGAAACCAGCCAUACAAAUCCCAGUGAUAUUUAGAUUCUAUUUUUUUUUUUGUUUCAAAAUGUACUUCUGUUGCAGGAAUUAAUUGGAUGGAUUCAUUUAUCUGGUUUUGCACUUGAUUGGGAGUUUUGUAAUGGUUGCCUUUGGAGUUUCUGUGAAUGACGUGCUUUAAAUCACAGUACAGCUGGAGGGGUUGUCAUGUUAAGUAGCAAACGAUAAACAGCAAGACCUCCAUAAAUCCUCCAAAUCUCUAGAGCUAAGGGUUCACAUUUAUGGCUGCUGCUGCUGCUGCUGCUGCCCACAUCAGGAGUCCCCUGAUUUGACCUCAGAAUUCUCUUUUCACCUGUAUAAGGGGCAUCAAGGAGGGAAGAUUGAAUGAGGUAUGUCCAUGUUACCUCUGACCUUUGUCUGGGACCUCAGCCAAGUUUUACAGUCUGGUACUCCGUUUCUGUAUCAAAAUAGUUAUUAAAAUGCAGUUUAUUCUGUUUUAAUCUCCACUGCGGGGUAAGGAUUUGGAACUCGGCAAUAUCUUGAAAUAGCUUCCAGCAAAGCCAUGUUCACCACAACAUGCUUGUAAAUCCAGAGGCACGCCCCCUCCCCCAAAGCCAUGCUUCCUAGUCAGGUACUGGUGUGAUUAUGAAGAAGGCUGUGAAUCAUGGGAGAAAUUCUUUGGGUCUUAUGUAACAACGAGAGCUAUGCAUCAUCGAAUCUGCUAAUAAAGGCUUUGCUGUAUUUCUGGACCACACCUAGCUUUGUCCAUUAGCCAUUUGUGGUUACACCCUCACACAAUUUUCCUGGUGCCCUUUCCCCCUGGAGAACCACAUUUUAAAAAUUCUUCAGAAAGUAUUUUUUCUUUCCUCUUUGAAACUUUAUUUUCUUCUACCCGUGUCCAGGCUGGGCUUUGUGUAUGCUCGGAGUUUAUGCUGACUGGAGUUUCAGGCACCAUGUUCUCUUCCUUCCUGUUGCAGUACCCAUCUUGCAUGGAGAGUUUUCCAGAAGCACAAAGUGAACUGAAGCAGAUGCGCAGUCAUUUUGCCUCGACAGGGAGCUUGAAGGAUCCUCCUGGGACGACAUUGAAAUGCUAGUGAAUGAUGUCAUCUUGAUCACUUUCAGGAUGAUUGCUGAGGGCUCUGAAGACCCAGAUGUGAGUGAAGUGAUGAUUUGGAAGGAGCCCGAGACACUGAAUGACCAUUCUGAAGACCACCCCACUAGGAAAAAAGGCUUUGCUAGCUAGUAACCAUAAUUAGUUGAAAACCCUAUAGUAUUAGUCCCUAAUAUAUAGAAGGGACUUUUUAUAAGCACCUGUCCUCUCUUUCUCUGCUAAUGCUGGCGUGGUGGUAAUGACUGUGAUGAUGACCUCACAUACUGAGAUGAUUCUGUUCUCUAGUAGGCUGUUCAGAUUCCUUGGCCUCUGCCUCUAGGGGCAUGUGACUGUAAGUGAUAACUAGCCUUCCUCUCUGACCGAAGUUUUUAUUAGAAGAAUGUAGUUUGGAGUGAAGUCUUCAAUAUAACUUAGGUUUGCACAGUAAAUUGUAAAACUUUAUGCCAAAAGAACUUGUCGAGAGGAUACAGAUGUCUGACAGUAUCAAAGGUGCUGUUUGAGGCCAUGCUCAUGGAGGGCAAGAAUCAGUCAGUUCUGGGGAUCCAGGCAUCAAGAAUACUGUCAUUGGUACCAAGUACCAAUUAGACCAGAGGACUACUUUGUUGUAAGCUAUUACAGGUUAUCGUAACCAAGUAUUUCAUAUUUCAAAAUUACUAAAAUAAUAGACUUGAAAUCACAAAAGUGUGAUUAAUUAUUGAGAUAUGUAGAUACAUUUAUUAGCUUUCUAUAAUCUAGUCCUAUAUCAAAGCAUUGUACUUUCCCCCAUAAAUAUACGUAACUGUUAGUUUAUUAGAAAUAAAUUAAAUCCUGCCAUGGGUCUUCUCUGAGGUUUACCAUUUUUUUCAUCCUUACUUAAAAGUUAUGUUUUUAAAAAUGUGCACAAAAUUUUAAUAACUUUGAUGGCAAAUAUAUUAACUUCAAAACGUUAAAAAAAUAAAACAGUAGAUUU